Molecule: ribosomal RNA, 950 nt
Filed under: Lactiplantibacillus plantarum
Lineage: Bacteria; Bacillati; Bacillota; Bacilli; Lactobacillales; Lactobacillaceae
Description: bacterial SSU rRNA
Rfam family: Bacterial small subunit ribosomal RNA
Source: RNAcentral
AUCUGCAGUCGAACGAACUCUGGUAUUGAUUGGUGCUUGCAUCAUGAUUUACAUUUGAGUGAGUGGCGAACUGGUGAGUAACACGUGGGAAACCUGCCCAGAAGCGGGGGAUAACACCUGGAAACAGAUGCUAAUACCGCAUAACAACUUGGACCGCAUGGUCCGAGUUUGAAAGAUGGCUUCGGCUAUCACUUUUGGAUGGUCCCGCGGCGUAUUAGCUAGAUGGUGAGGUAACGGCUCACCAUGGCAAUGAUACGUAGCCGACCUGAGAGGGUAAUCGGCCACAUUGGGACUGAGACACGGCCCAAACUCCUACGGGAGGCAGCAGUAGGGAAUCUUCCACAAUGGACGAAAGUCUGAUGGAGCAACGCCGCGUGAGUGAAGAAGGGUUUCGGCUCGUAAAACUCUGUUGUUAAAGAAGAACAUAUCUGAGAGUAACUGUUCAGGUAUUGACGGUAUUUAACCAGAAAGCCACGGCUAACUACGUGCCAGCAGCCGCGGUAAUACGUAGGUGGCAAGCGUUGUCCGGAUUUAUUGGGCGUAAAGCGAGCGCAGGCGGUUUUUUAAGUCUGAUGUGAAAGCCUUCGGCUCAACCGAAGAAGUGCAUCGGAAACUGGGAAACUUGAGUGCAGAAGAGGACAGUGGAACUCCAUGUGUAGCGGUGAAAUGCGUAGAUAUAUGGAAGAACACCAGUGGCGAAGGCGGCUGUCUGGUCUGUAACUGACGCUGAGGCUCGAAAGUAUGGGUAGCAAACAGGAUUAGAUACCCUGGUAGUCCAUACCGUAAACGAUGAAUGCUAAGUGUUGGAGGGUUUCCGCCCUUCAGUGCUGCAGCUAACGCAUUAAGCAUUCCGCCUGGGGAGUACGGCCGCAAGGCUGAAACUCAAAGGAAUUGACGGGGGCCCGCACAAGCGGUGGAGCAUGUGGUUUAAUUCGAAGCUACGCGAAGAA